UUAAGUUCAGCGGGUAGUCUUACUUGAUUUGAGAUCGAGUAUAACAAAAAGGCGAACCCUUUUGUGAAAAUCCUGCAUCAGUCAGCCAAAAUGGUCAAUCUCCCUUUAUGUUAGCUGCAGCAAAAGUAAUAAUCCGUUUGACGGGAUUAAAUGAAUAUGCUUUUAGCCCAGGAGAAAGUCCAGCUGCACCUGCAUUUCAA
This 200-nucleotide unclassified non-coding RNA is filed under the name uncultured Mortierella. RNAcentral describes it as "sequence contains ITS2". Lineage: Eukaryota; Fungi; Mortierellomycota; Mortierellomycetes; Mortierellales; Mortierellaceae. The record is from RNAcentral.